Molecule: long non-coding RNA, 981 nt
Filed under: Rattus norvegicus (Norway rat)
Lineage: Eukaryota; Metazoa; Chordata; Mammalia; Rodentia; Muridae
Description: long non-coding RNA NONRATT018572
Source: RNAcentral
UGGGCGUUGCGGGAUUGGGGCCUGGGAUCUCUUGGCCCCGGCAGCUAAGAAGCCUGUGACCGGGCGAAGCGGCGCCAUCCCAGCCCUGAGGCCUGCUGACCGGUGAGGAGCAGGGACUAGAGUAGGGAGGGUUACUGUGGCUUAGGACGCACUUCAAAGUGCGGACUCCUGAUCUUGGCGGCCCAGUGGCAUUCUUCCGCCCCCUCAGCACCCCUUUGUUCUAAUAACCCGGGUCCAAGUCUCCUCCGGUCCCCUUACCAGUAGCCGACCCCCCAGUACCUCCGCCCGUUCAUCCUGGCAUGUCCACAGCCUAUCUAGUCCCCUGCCGUCUCCGAUCCCUGAUCCAGCACCCCUCAUCCAGAGCCCUUGGUCCCCGCCCCCCGAAUUCCCGCAGUCCUUUGGUCCGUGCUCAGCCCUGGGUCCCACCCCGCAGUCUCUGGUGCCGGCCCUGACAGCUCCGGGCCAGUCGCCCAUUGCAUUGCUCUCCACCCGGGUACAGACAGGCUCUGCGUUCCCCGCUGAGGUCGGCGGCCACUACCAGCGACCGCAGAGCUACAGCGGGCAGCCCCGGGCAUGUAUGCCCCUGGAGGCGCCGGGCUGCCGGGAGGGCGCCGGCGGAGAAGCCCGGGAAGCAGCGCUCUUCCUAAGCAGCCGGAGCGGAGCCUGGCUUCGGCCCUGCCUGGCGCCCUGUCCAUCACAGCGCUGUGCACUGCCCUCGCGGAGCCCGCUUGGUUGCACAUCCAUGGAGGCACCUGUUCCCGCCAGGAGCUGGGGGUCUCAGACGUGCUGGGCUAUGUGCACCCGGAUCUGCUAAAAGAGAUCCAGAAAGAGAAGAGAAUCGAGUUCUCCAUGCUUGCCCUGCAUGGUGGCAUCACCGAUACUGCCUCCCAUCAGUUGAUGCCAGAACAAAGUGGCGCUGACUCCUUAAUUGUGUUUAUCUUUUGUUUUUCUUCAUCGGUUGUAAAGAAGGCUAUCACGAUA